GACGGAGGAUGCAAGUGUUAUCCGGCAUCACUGGGCGUAAAGCGUCUGUAGGUGGUUAAAUAAGUCAACUGUUAAAUCUUGAGGCUCAACCUCAAAAUCGCAGUCGAAACUAUUUGACUAGAGUAUAGUAGGGGUAAAGGGAAUUUCCAGUGGAGCGGUGAAAUGCGUAGAGAUUGGAAAGAACACCGAUGGCGAAGGCACUUUACUGGGCUAUUACUAACACUGAGAGACGAAAGCUAGGGUAGCAAAGGGG
This 253-nucleotide ribosomal RNA is filed under the name uncultured bacterium. RNAcentral describes it as "partial 16S ribosomal RNA". It matches the Rfam family "Bacterial small subunit ribosomal RNA", at positions 524 to 776 of the family's 1533-position model. The record is from RNAcentral.